GAUGAACGCUGGCGGCGUGCCUAAUACAUGCAAGUCGAGCGAACGGACGAGAAGCUUGCUUCUCUGAUGUUAGCGGCGGACGGGUGAGUAACACGUGGAUAACCUACCUAUAAGACUGGGAUAACUUCGGGAAACCGGAGCUAAUACCGGAUAAUAUUUUGAACCGCAUGGUUCAAAAGUGAAAGACGGUCUUGCUGUCACUUAUAGAUGGAUCCGCGCUGCAUUAGCUAGUUGGUAAGGUAACGGCUUACCAAGGCAACGAUGCAUAGCCGACCUGAGAGGGUGAUCGGCCACAUUGGAACUGAGACACGGUCCAGACUCCUACGGGAGGCAGCAGUAGGGAAUCUUCCGCAAUGGGCGAAAGCCUGACGGAGCAACGCCGCGUGAGUGAUGAAAGUCUUCGGAUCGUAAAACUCUGUUAUUAGGGAAGAACAUAUGUGUAAGUAACUGUGCACAUCUUGACGGUACCUAAUCAGAAAGCCACGGCUAACUACGUGCCAGCAGCCGCGGUAAUACGUAGGUGGCAAGCGUUAUCCGGAAUUAUUGGGCGUAAAGCGCGCGUAGGCGGUUUUUUAAGUCUGAUGUGAAAGCCCACGGCUCAACCGUGGAGGGUCAUUGGAAACUGGAAAACUUGAGUGCAGAAGAGGAAAGUGGAAUUCCAUGUGUAGCGGUGAAAUGCGUAGAGAUAUGGAGGAACACCAGUGGCGAAGGCGACUUUCUGGUCUGUAACUGACGCUGAUGUGCGAAAGCGUGGGGAUCAAACAGGAUUAGAUACCCUGGUAGUCCACGCCGUAAACGAUGAGUGCUAAGUGUUAGGGGGUUUCCGCCCCUUAGUGCUGCAGCUAACGCAUUAAGCACUCCGCCUGGGGAGUACGACCGCAAGGUUGAAACUCAAAGGAAUUGACGGGGACCCGCACAAGCGGUGGAGCAUGUGGUUUAAUUCGAAGCAACGCGAAGAACCUUACCAAAUCUUGACAUCCUUUGACAACUCUAGAGAUAGAGCUUUCCCCUUCGGGGGACAAAGUGACAGGUGGUGCAUGGUUGUCGUCAGCUCGUGUCGUGAGAUGUUGGGUUAAGUCCCGCAACGAGCGCAACCCUUAAGCUUAGUUGCCAUCAUUAAGUUGGGCACUCUAAGUUGACUGCCGGUGACAAACCGGAGGAAGGUGGGGAUGACGUCAAAUCAUCAUGCCCCUUAUGAUUUGGGCUACACACGUGCUACAAUGGACAAUACAAAGGGCAGCGAAACCGCGAGGUCAAGCAAAUCCCAUAAAGUUGUUCUCAGUUCGGAUUGUAGUCUGCAACUCGACUACAUGAAGCUGGAAUCGCUAGUAAUCGUAGAUCAGCAUGCUACGGUGAAUACGUUCCCGGGUCU
Molecule: ribosomal RNA, 1372 nt
Filed under: uncultured bacterium
Lineage: Bacteria
Description: bacterial SSU rRNA
Rfam family: Bacterial small subunit ribosomal RNA
Source: RNAcentral